AUUGAACGCUGGCGGCACGCUUUACACAUGCAAGUCGAACGGCAGCGCGGGCUUCGGCCUGGCGGCGAGUGGCGAACGGGUGAGUAAUACAUCGGAACGUGCCCAGUAGUGGGGGAUAGCUCGGCGAAAGCCGGAUUAAUACCGCAUACGACCUGAGGGUGAAAGCGGGGGAUCUUCGGACCUCGCGCUAUUGGAGCGGCCGAUGGCAGAUUAGCUAGUUGGUGGGGUAAAGGCCUACCAAGGCGACGAUCUGUAGCUGGUCUGAGAGGACGACCAGCCACACUGGGACUGAGACACGGCCCAGACUCCUACGGGAGGCAGCAGUGGGGAAUUUUGGACAAUGGGCGAAAGCCUGAUCCAGCAAUGCCGCGUGUGUGAUGAAGGCCUUCGGGUUGUAUAGCACUUUUGGCGGGAACGAAAAGGACUGUGCCAAUACCACGGUUCGAUGACGGUACCCGCAGAAUAAGCACCGGCUAACUACGUG
RNAcentral lists this ribosomal RNA (484 nucleotides) under uncultured bacterium. RNAcentral's name for it is "partial 16S ribosomal RNA". It matches the Rfam family "Bacterial small subunit ribosomal RNA", at positions 29 to 507 of the family's 1533-position model. The record is from RNAcentral.